RNAcentral lists this ribosomal RNA (1624 nucleotides) under metagenome. RNAcentral's name for it is "bacterial LSU rRNA". It matches the Rfam family "Bacterial large subunit ribosomal RNA", at positions 1264 to 2911 of the family's 2925-position model. The record is from RNAcentral.
UAAGUUAUCCUGGAGCGGUGAGUAAAGCAAAUGUAGGAAUAAGUAACGAUAAGGAGGGUUAGAUUCCCUCCCGCUGUAAGACCAAGGUUUCCCGGGCAAUGCCAAUCAGCCCGGGGUCAGUCGGGUCCUAAGUCUAAGCCGAACGGCGAUGGCGAUGGCAGAGACGGUUAAUAUUCCGUCACUGCCGCAUGGGGCGACGUGGAGACGGAGCAGUGAAACCACCGCGGGGCGACGGAAGUCCCCGUUGAAGAGUGUAGGCGUUGAGGAUGGCAGGCAAAUCCACCGUCCGAGCUGAACUUGAGAGUAUGGAGUCUUCUUCGGAAGAAUCCAAUAGUGUGGGUAAUCAUACUCCCGAGAAAAUCCGCUAAGCUUAACCCAUGCGGCACCCGUACCGCAAACGGACACACGUGGUCGGGUAGAACAUACUGAGGCGUUGAGAGAUUCAUGGUUAAGGAACUAGGCAAAUUGACCCUGUAACUUCGGGAUAAAGGGUCCUCGUGAAUAGCGAGGCGCAGAGAAUAGGUCCAGGCAACUGUUUAACAAAAACACAGGGCUGUGCAAACUCGAAAGAUGACGUAUACAGCCUGACACCUGCCCGGUGCCGGAAGGUUAAGAGGAGAUGUCACUCGCAAGAGGAAGCAUUGAAUUGAAGCCCCGGUAACCGGCGGCCGUAACGAUAACGGUCCUAAGGUAGCGAAAUUCCUUGUCGGGUAAGUUCCGACCUGCACGAAUGGUGUAAUGAUCCGGACGCUGUCUCAACCAUGAGCUCAGUGAAAUUGUAGUAUCGGUGAAGAUGCCGAUUACCCGCGAUGGGACGAAAAGACCCCGUGAACCUUUACUACAGCUUAGCAUUGACCUUGGUCAUCCGAUGUGUAGGAUAGGCCGGAGGCUUCGAAGCGGGAGCGCCAGCUUUCGUGGAGCCAUCCUUGAAAUACGGCCCUUUGGCUGUCUGAGGUCUAACGCGCGAUGCGCGGACACUGCUUGGUGGGUAGUUUGACUGGGGUGGUCGCCUCCAAAAGCGUAACGGAGGCUUCCAAAGGUGCCCUCGGGUCGAUUGGUAACCGACCUCAAAGAGUGCAACGGCAUAAGGGCGCUUGACUGGGAGGCAGACAUGCCGAGCAGGCAGGAAACUGGGGCAUAGUGAUCCGGCGGAUGUGUAUGGAAACUCCGUCGCUCAAAGGAUGAAAGGUACUCCGGGGAUAACAGGCUGAUCCCCCCCAAGAGCUCAUAUCGACGGGGUGGUUUGGCACCUCGAUGUCGGCUCGUCUCAUCCUGGGGCUGGAGAAGGUCCCAAGGGUUGGGCUGUUCGCCCAUUAAAGUGGCACGCGAGCUGGGUUCAGAACGUCGUGAGACAGUUCGGUCUCUAUCUAUCGUGGGCGUGGGAGUUUUGCGUGGUGCCGUCACUAGUACGAGAGGACCGUGAUGGACAGACCUCCGGUUUACCAGUUGUGCCGCCAGGCGCACCGCUGGGUAUCUGAGUCUGGAUUGGAUAAGCGCUGAAAGCAUCUAAGUGCGAAGCCAGCCGCAAGAUGAGAACUCCAUUGAGGGUCGUCAGAGACGAUGACGUUGAUAGGAUGCAGGUGUAAAGACAGCGAUGUCAAAGCCGAGCAUUACUAAUUGCCCG